This 497-nucleotide ribosomal RNA is filed under the name uncultured bacterium. RNAcentral's name for it is "partial 16S ribosomal RNA". It matches the Rfam family "Bacterial small subunit ribosomal RNA", at positions 28 to 507 of the family's 1533-position model. The record is from RNAcentral.
GAUGAACGCUGGCGGCGUGCCUAAUACAUGCAAGUCGAGCGAACAGAUGAGGAGCUUGCUCCUCUGACGUUAGCGGCGGACGGGUGAGUAACACGUGGAUAACCUACCUAUAAGACUGGGAUAACUUCGGGAAACCGGAGCUAAUACCGGAUAAUAUAUUGAACCGCAUGGUUCAAUAGUGAAAGACGGUUUUGCUGUCACUUAUGGAUGGAUCCGCGCCGCAUUAGCUAGUUGGUAAGGUAACGGCUUACCAAGGCAACGAUGCGUAGCCGACCUGAGAGGGUGAUCAGCCACACUGGAACUGAGACACGGUCCAGACUCCUACGGGAGGCAGCAGUAGGGAAUCUUCCGCAAAGGGCGAAAGCCUGACGGAGCAACGCCGCGUGAGUGAUGAAGGUCUUCGGAUCGUAAAACUCUGUUAUUAGGGAAGAACAAAUGUGUAAGUAACUAUGCACGUCUUGACGGUACCUAAUCAGAAAGCCACGGCUAACUACGUG